UAUNGGUCAAUGGACGCGAGUCUGAACCAGCNAAGUAGCGUGAAGGAUGACUGCCCUAUGGGUUGUAAACUUCUUUUAUAUGGGAAUAAAGUUUUCCACGUGUGGAAUUUUGUAUGUACCAUAUGAAUAAGGAUCGGCUCACUCCGUGCCAGCAGCCGCGGUAAUACGGAGGAUCCGAGCGUUAUCCGGAUUUAUUGGGUUUAACGGGAGAGUAGGUGGACAGUUAAGUCAGUUGUGAAAGUUUGGGGCUCAACCGUAAAAGUGCAGUUGAUACUGGAUGUCUUGAGUACAGUAGAGGUGGGCGGAAUUCGUGGUGUAGCGGUGAAAUGCUUAGAUAUCACGAAGAACUCCGAUUGCGAAGGCAGCUCACUGGACUGUUAACUGACACUGAGGCUCGAAAGUGUGGGUAUCAA
Molecule: ribosomal RNA, 413 nt
Filed under: uncultured bacterium
Lineage: Bacteria
Description: bacterial SSU rRNA
Rfam family: Bacterial small subunit ribosomal RNA
Source: RNAcentral